AUGGUAAUUUCUUGAUUCUGACUUAUAGUUAUGAAUAUUCAAUGUAUUGUUCUGUGAUUGAAAAUGUUAUACCAUUAUGAUCAGGUUUAACUUAUUAUGUGGGUUAAUUUUGAUGACAUCCUACAAUACCGUUGACUGUGACCUACUUUAAUUUCAUUCGAAAGCUAAGUUUGAGAUUUUUGUGUGGUUAAGAUGCAACUGGUAAUUAGUAAUUAGUCGUGCAUUCUGUGUAUCACUGGAUUAAUAAGGGUGGUUGAAUAACUUUUGAUAUUUUCCAAUGAACAAUACACAUAAUUAAUUAUUGUUCAUCUAAUGACUUUUUCUUAAAUAUCUUUAGAGUCAAGAUGCCUUCUUUAAAUUUUAAACUUACGCUAUUUGUUCAGUGCCUCAAAUUUUUUAGUUUAGAUUUAAAACUCUAAAAGACAUUGUCAAUUUAUGGGGAGAAGUUUGCUGUUGAAAAUUUCAAAAUCAAACAUACCAGACCUGGUAGGAGAACUGCCUAUGCCCCAGAACCUCCCCUUCCCUAAUACCAUCUCACUCCAUGAUUUCAGAUUUCUAAGUUUCACUGUGUGAAAGCAUCCUUUGUGUCAUCUUAUUAUUUUUGCUCAAUUUUCAGGGCUUAGGUCUAUGGCAAAUGAUGGGCAGGACACUAAUGGUUCACAAUUUUUCAUCUGUGACGACCAACUGGUAACUAUACAAUUUAUGAUCCUGCUAUUAUGAGAAAACUGUCAUCCAUCUUCAGAUCUUCUAUCUGGUGCUUCUAUUUAGCCAGAAAAUCUAACAAAAUUUAAAUGUUCAAUAGGUUGGAUGGUCGUCAUGUUGUAUUCAGAAAGGUGCUGUCCGGAAUAGAUGUGGUGUAUAAGAUAGAAGCCAAAUGCAACUAGAGUGGAACAACCAAAAACAAAGUUGUGAUUGCAGACAGUGGUGAACUUCCCCUGUAAUCAGCUUGUACUUGAACUUGUCAGUUUUACCCUUCUACUCACUUCUGCUUACUGCAGAUUAUGGAUCUUAAUUUACAUACCUGAAUUAUGUUAUUUAGGAAAAUGAAAUAGGUACCAGAAAAGUACACUUUUUAGUUUGGCACCUAAUGAAAUAGGUACCAGAAAAGGCACGUAGAAUGUAUAUUAGGAAAGAAGAGAGGAAACAUAUGCGAUUUCUCUUACAUUAUUGACAGAGAUCAUUAGGGAUAAUGUUACCAACCUUUAGAAGGUUCGUUUUACAUUUUUUUGAUCUGUUCAGUGACCUUUCCUUUAGUUAGCAUUUAUACAAUUUCUCUCUGUCAUAAAUGCAGCAGAAAAGAAGACAAAGAAAUAGCAAGAAGUCGUAAUUGCGUAGUGAAGAAGUUUCAAAGGCACUAAGAAUGAAUUUUUUUCUGAAGUGGUAUAUACUUUUGAGAAGUAUUGAAAUGAAUUUUACAUUGAUAUAUUGUAUUAAACUGUACUCAAUAUUUAUGAAAUCUAAGAAAAACCUGGUUAUAUUUAUGGAAUUUUGUUUUGUAAUUAUUAUUAGUAAUCAAAUAAAUAAACAAUUUUUUCUUUUAAAAAAUAAAAUUUACGUUGUGCAUUUUGUACGCCGUAAAAAAAAAUACGUUACCUCGUUAAAAAACUCACCUUGCGCACGCCGUAAAAGGUUUUAACGGCUUUCAUAGAUGACAUGCAUUGCACUCCGUAAAAAGUAAAUACUUUUUUACGGCAUUGCUUUAUACGGCAUGUAGGAGUGGAUACUUUUUUCCAGAACCGGUGGAACUGGACCGAAAUCGUUUAGAACCGAUCGGUUUGGUUCCGGAUCUUCUAAAAAAUAAUUUGAUUUCGGGACAAAUUUUUAAGAACCGAUUGGUUUCGGUCUGGUUCUCGAUUUUAGUAUGGGAACCGAGGGAACCAGACGGUUCUCAUUGGACUUUUUCUUUUUUUCUUUUUUUUUUUGGUAAAAUAUAUGACUCAAUUUUCAAACUUUUAUAAAAAAUAAUCGGGUUCCUUCUUAAUUUUAGACUCCAGCACUUUCCUUCUUCACUUUGAUUCUUUCCUUGUCUCUUCUUAUAGUUCUUUGAUUAAUUGAUUUUCAAGCCAAAUUAAAAUAUUGGGUAAAUCUAUACCUAAAUAAAUUUAUUUACAAAAUAUAAUUUCAUUUAUAAGAUGUGAAAUUUUUAUUUUGUUUUCACUUUGUAAAUCUAUACUUAAAUAAAUCUUUGACUAGUAUGUUCAGUUUUUCUAUAUUUUGUUAAAAGUAUCACAUUGGUAGUAUUUUUAGAGUUUUAGUAGUGAACAUUUUAUUUUGACAUUUUCAAUGUAAAGAACCGGACCGAACUGAAUCGGAACCGAUUGGUUCGGUUCCGAUUUGGUUCCACAGUUAACUAUGGAACCAAUGGUUCAUUUCUAAAAUUCUCAUUGGUAUUUGGUUCGGUUCGAUUUCCUUUGGAAUCGGACCAAAUCGGACCGUGCCCACACCUAACGGCAUGCGGCUGCACGCCGUAAAUUGGUUUUUACGGCAUGCAAUGCUUGCAUGCCGUAAAAAGUGCAUUUUGUUGUAUUGCGUGACCAAUCUAAUGACUUUUUCUUAAAUAUCUUUAGAGUCAAGAUGCCUUCUUUAAAUUUUAAACUUACGCUAUUUGUUCAGUGCCUCAAAAUUUUUAGUUUAGAUUUAAAACUCUAAAAGACAUUGUCAAUUUAUGGGGAGAAGUUUGCUGUUGAAAAUUUCAAAAUCAAACAUACCAGACCUGGUAGGAGAACUGCCAAUGCCCCAGAACCUCCCCUUCCCUAAUACCAUCUCACUCCAUGAUUUCAGAUUUCUGAGUUUCAUUGUGUGAAAGCAUUCUUUGUGUCAUCUUAUUAUUUUUGUCCAAUUUUCAGGGCU
This 2850-nucleotide long non-coding RNA is filed under the name Olea europaea (common olive). RNAcentral's name for it is "long non-coding RNA (OEUR_LNC005986)". Lineage: Eukaryota; Viridiplantae; Streptophyta; Magnoliopsida; Lamiales; Oleaceae. The record is from RNAcentral.